This 410-nucleotide long non-coding RNA is filed under the name Triticum aestivum (bread wheat). RNAcentral describes it as "long non-coding RNA (TAES_LNC021548)". Lineage: Eukaryota; Viridiplantae; Streptophyta; Magnoliopsida; Poales; Poaceae. The record is from RNAcentral.
GAAGGGUCCAACUUAAGUGGUAAGCAAUGGAUCGUGUGUUGGAUCCUAAUGGCACCGAAAGGGAAAGAGGUGGACCGGGCUGCCAGAGCACGAGCCGACCAUCCCUUUGCGUCAAAGUGGCAAGCGACAACUCACUCCGGCCAACAAGCAGUCCGGGCAAUCAAGCAAGCAAGCAACCAACUUUUUUACUUUUGAAUUUUCAUCGGCUCGGCAGCAACUCACAAAAUCGCCAUUGAAACGGGGAAGCAGAUCGAGAUCGAGCUCUGGAUUCGGUUAGUUACCUAAAUGUGGCGGUUCUGACGAGCUCGCCUCGCCUCUGCUCCGGCGAUCGGUACAGGGCACACCAGGAAGGGAAGAAGAAAGACUAAUUUAAGGGGAUAUGAUCUUUACACAGCCGAGAAAUUUUUGAU